UCAACUUGAGAGUUUGAUCCUGGCUCAGAACGAACGCUGGCGGCAGGCCUAACACAUGCAAGUCGAGCGCGCCUUCGGGCGAGCGGCGGACGGGUUAGUAACGCGUGGGAACGUGCCCAGAUCUACGGAAUAGCCACUGGAAACGGUGAGUAAUACCGUAUACGCCCUUAGGGGGAAAGAUUUAUCGGAUUUGGAUCGGCCCGCGUUAGAUUAGGUAGUUGGUGGGGUAACGGCCUACCAAGCCUACGAUCUAUAGCUGGUUUUAGAGGAUGAUCAGCA
Molecule: ribosomal RNA, 279 nt
Filed under: Aestuariivita sp.
Lineage: Bacteria; Pseudomonadati; Pseudomonadota; Alphaproteobacteria; Rhodobacterales; Paracoccaceae
Description: partial 16S ribosomal RNA
Rfam family: Bacterial small subunit ribosomal RNA
Source: RNAcentral